AUGAAACAAUUGAAAUAUAAUUCUGAUAUGAUUGCUCUCUUGAGUGACUUGUUAUUUAGAAUUUCAAAUGAUGUUAGAGGUGUUGGACAACAUGCUUCUAUGGUUCAAAUUCAGUUAGAACAAGUUGCUAAAUCACAAAGAGAAUUACUUGAUGAAAUGAAUCAUAAUAUGCAUGACUUUGCUGUUAGAGUUGCAACUAGAGGAGGUAAAAUGACUCAGGAACCACUUUAUCCUGAGGGACACCCAAAAAGAAUUGAACAAGAUUCACAAAGAGCUAACACUAGUGCACCUAGUCCUUCUAAAAACAAAAAGAAAAAGAAAAAUGAUAGGACUUUGCACACUUCUAGUGAACCAGAAAUAUAA
This 363-nucleotide ribosomal RNA is filed under the name Triticum aestivum (bread wheat). Its description in RNAcentral is "partial small subunit ribosomal RNA". The record is from RNAcentral. Lineage: Eukaryota; Viridiplantae; Streptophyta; Magnoliopsida; Poales; Poaceae.